AAGAGAUCGGGAUAACACCUGGAAACAGAUGCUAAUACCGGAUAACAACAGAUGUUGCCUAUCAACUGUUUAAAAGAUGGUUCUGCUAUCACUCUUGGAUGGACCUGCGGUGCAUUAGCUAGUUGGUAGGGUAACGGCCUACCAAGGCGAUGAUGCAUAGCCGAGUUGAGAGACUGAUCGGCCACAUUGGGACUGAGACACGGCCCAAACUCCUACGGGAGGCAGCAGCG
RNAcentral lists this ribosomal RNA (230 nucleotides) under uncultured Lactobacillus sp. RNAcentral describes it as "partial 16S ribosomal RNA". It matches the Rfam family "Bacterial small subunit ribosomal RNA", at positions 132 to 356 of the family's 1533-position model. Lineage: Bacteria; Bacillati; Bacillota; Bacilli; Lactobacillales; Lactobacillaceae. The record is from RNAcentral.